AGUGAACGCUGGCGGUAGGCCUAACACAUGCAAGUCGAACGGCCGCACAGUAAGAGCUUGCUCUUACGGGUGGCGAGUGGCGGACGGGUGACGAAUACAUCGGAAUCUACUUUUUCUUGGGUGAUUACGUAGGGAAACUUACGCUAAUACCGCAUACGUCCUACGGGUGAAAGCAGGGGAUCUUCGGACCUUGCGCGAUUGAAUGAGCCGAUGUCGGAUUAGCUAGUUGGCGUGGUAAAGGCCCACCAAGGCGACGAUCCGUAGCUGGUCUGUGAGGAUGAUCAGGCACACGGGAAGGGAGAAACGGUCCAGACUCCUACGGGAGGGAGGAGUGGGGAAGAUUGGACAAUGGGCGCAAGCCUGAUCCAGCCAUACCGAGUGGGGGAAGAAGGCCUUCGGGUUGUAAAGCCCUUUUGUUGGGAAAGAAAAGCAGCAGGUUAAUACCCCGCUGUUCUGACGGUACCCAAAGAAAAAGCACCGGCUAACUUCGUG
Molecule: ribosomal RNA, 492 nt
Filed under: uncultured bacterium
Lineage: Bacteria
Description: partial 16S ribosomal RNA
Rfam family: Bacterial small subunit ribosomal RNA
Source: RNAcentral